Syngnathoides biaculeatus (alligator pipefish) is the source of this 788-nucleotide long non-coding RNA. RefSeq lists it as uncharacterized. Lineage: Eukaryota; Metazoa; Chordata; Actinopteri; Syngnathiformes; Syngnathidae. The transcript has 3 exons. The record is from RefSeq and is a predicted model, not a curated record.
UCACACCCUGCUGGUCCAAUCAGUAUUAGUAAUAUACUGUAUACUGUCGCCAGGGGUGGCUAACCUGCGGCUCUUCACUUCCUUUCAUGUGGCUCUCUGAAGGCAGAAAAGCAUAUGGAAUUUCUAAUUACAUGCAUCUCCAUGCACACCUGCUUUGCUUGUGUUGAUUUCAGUCGUUGCGACCACCAGUUCCUCGAGUUCAUUACGGUAUUUGGGUGUACACUUUGCUCGAGUUUAUUACGGUUGUUAUGAGUAUUGUGACAACAAGCUGUGUGUGUGGCCACUUUGCGUCGUUCUGCGAGUGAGAGGGUACUGCUCAGGCAUGUCCGGCUGGAGAGUGAGAAGAAAAAGAGCAAUGGGGACCGGGGAAGGGUGGCUUUAUUCUUCCCGUCGUCAAACUCAGCUGUGAAACGAAAGAAGAGAGUUAAAUCUGAGGAGGACGACCUCAGCCCCAGAGAAGAUGUUUUCCCUGCAUUUCCCGACCACAGGUGACUGCAGCAGGAAAGGUACCAUCUUCCUGCUGGAAACUGAUGGUUGCGCCACACCAGUUAGUGUCGACUUCGGCCUAGUGGAUCUGUCAUCGUGUGGCUUCUGGCGCUGCUGACGGUUCUCCCUCCUUUCACGACACUUGCUUCAGGAGCCACCUGAGUUCACAGGAGCCAUUCACUUCCUGCGCAUGUCUGCCAUAAUCUGAUAACUUGUGGUCAGCUGUCAUCAAUUUUGUAUUAGGCAUCAAUGCAUUAAAGUCUUUUAGUGGUAUAAUGCUUACUUGUGCACCAGUAUCUAAC